AGGAACACCGAUCUCGUUUUUAAGUAUAAAAUAUUAUAGUAGUAGUAGCAGCUGAGAUCUUCCAGUGAACUUCCAUAGUCAAAGCUUUUAUUGUGUGUGUAUUGAUGAGUAUGUGUGAAGAACAAGAUUGGAUCAGUGCAUUACCAGAUGUAAUUCUCCAUCACAUCCUCUCUUUUUUUGCCUACUCAUCCUAUGGAAGUUCACCCCUGUCAUUGACUUUCCAAUCACACCUUAUCAAGGGAUCACUGAAUCCCAAUCCAUUUUCAUACACAAACACUUUGACCCAACACCAAGCCUUGAAUUCAGCCUUGAGUUCUCCGUUGGAACCUUUUGGGACCAUGACCUUGAUGUUCAGCACUGCAUUGAGUUUGCCAUUUCAAAACAGGUUCAGAUUCUUUCAGUUAUAGCUCAUUUACUGCCUGAAGAACAUUGCCUUUUGCCUAACAUGUUGUAUUCCCAUGAUAAUAUUCGAUGGUUGGAACAUGUUUCGUUGAAGGUUUUUUUUUUUUUUCAAUCCAGAUCCACCAAGUGUUCUACCGUUUGCUUCACUGAAAACCCUUUGCUCUUUGAUUGUGUGAUCGAUGAUGAAACUCUAAAUGGCUUGUUAUCUAACUGUCCUCUUCUUGAAAGCUUGACACUUGAUUGGUGCCAUAGGUUACUUAAGUUUAAGACUUCUUGGUGGCAAAGCAUGAGGCUUAAACACUUAGAUGGAUAGAUGAGCUUGCUUUGAAUGUAGAAAUUGAUGUGCCAAUUUGUUUACUUUUAAAUUCUGUGGAGAUUUAAUGAUGAUCUCUCUCAGUUCUUUGCCUUCCAUUGUUGAAGCGACAGUUCUUCAAUGAAGAAAUAGACAAUAUGAGCAGGACUUUACAACAUGUUUUGGAAAUCUUUCCCAUGUAAAGAAACUUGGUGUAAAUUCUUGGUUUUGUCAGUUUCUUGCUAGAGAACACAAGGUGAACGGUAAUGGAUGGAUCAUUUUCGAAAAUCUUAAAGGUCUUUUCUUGGUUUGGUCCAUUGGCAAAAGAUUGUGAUCUUGAGUCAUGGCCCUUAUAUGGAGAAGAUUGAAAUGGAUGGAUACAAUUGAGACGCUAAGAGUAAAAAACGAGCAGAAAAGGACCAAAUUGAAACACAAUCAAUAAAAUGAGGCCGAAUAAAAAAUGUAGAAGAAGCCAAUGGCUCAUCAGAUUCUUCUGACUUUGUAAAAGCCAAAAAUAGAAAAAAAAUAUUUUUUUAUUUAAUUUUAAUUAUACGUUGAAUGGUUAAAGCCAAAAUUAGUAAAUUCUAUGUAUAUAAAUAAGGCUUUAAUGUACUUAGAAAAGACACAUUUUAAUUUUACAUAAUUGAUUUUCAUUUGGAAUUUAAGAGAAA
Molecule: long non-coding RNA, 1365 nt
Organism: Gossypium arboreum
Lineage: Eukaryota; Viridiplantae; Streptophyta; Magnoliopsida; Malvales; Malvaceae
Exons: 3
Source: RefSeq, a predicted model, not a curated record